GGACCCGCACAAGUAGUGGAGCAUGUGGUUUAAUUCGAAGAUACGCGCAGAACCUUACCAACACUUGACAUGUUCGUCGCGACUUUAAGAGAUUAAAGUUUUCGGUUCGGCCGGACGAAACACAGGUGCUGCAUGGCUGUCGUCAGCUCGUGUCGUGAGAUGUUGGUUAAGUCCCGCAACGAGCGCAACCCUCAUUUUUAGUUGCCAUCAUUAAAGUUGGGCACUCUGAAAAAACUGCCAGUGAUAAGCUGGAGGAAGGUGGGGAUGACGUCAAGUCCUCAUGGCCCUUACGUGUUGGGCUACACACGUGCUACAAUGGUAUCUACAACAGGAAGCAAAACGGCGACGUUAAG
RNAcentral lists this ribosomal RNA (353 nucleotides) under uncultured bacterium. RNAcentral describes it as "bacterial SSU rRNA". It matches the Rfam family "Bacterial small subunit ribosomal RNA", at positions 917 to 1267 of the family's 1533-position model. The record is from RNAcentral.